Molecule: ribosomal RNA, 289 nt
Filed under: uncultured Anoxybacillus sp.
Lineage: Bacteria; Bacillati; Bacillota; Bacilli; Caryophanales; Anoxybacillaceae
Description: partial 16S ribosomal RNA
Rfam family: Bacterial small subunit ribosomal RNA
Source: RNAcentral
CGAGCGCAACCCUCGACCUUAGUUGCCAGCAUUCAGUUGGGCACUCUAAGGUGACUGCCGGCUAAAAGUCGGAGGAAGGUGGGGAGUGACGUCAAAUCAUCAUGCCCCUUAUGACCUGGGCUACACGCGUGCUACAAUGGGCGGUACAAAGGGUCGCGAACCCGCGAGGGGGAGCCAAUCCCAAAAAGCCGCUCUCAGUUCGGAUUGCAGGCUGCAACUCGCCUGCAUGAAGCCGGAAUCGCUAGUAAUCGCGGAUCAGCAUGCCGCGGUGAAUACGUUCCCGGGCCUU